ACUGCUGAAAGCAUAUGCAAAGGUUGAGCCUCUGACAAUAGCUGAGCUUAAUUAUUUAUUAUCACUGCUCCAUCCCAGGACAUUGACUUCAUAUGUACCGGGAGAGUUGCUCGUGUUGACAUGGACAAAGGGUGGUGUUAUGCUGCAUGCUCCAAAUGCAGUAAAAUUGCAGCACACUGUCUCCUCUAUUGCGUUUGUGCGAUGCGACAAUGCUCAUGCUGUCGGGACUUUCCGCUAUCGCGUGGAGACGACCAUUGCUGAUGGUACUGCUGAAGGUGCAUCCUUUUGUUUUAAUGGUGUAGUGACGAAAUUACAUAGCCUCAGAGCAAGUG
Long non-coding RNA from Brassica oleracea var. oleracea, 332 nucleotides. RefSeq lists it as uncharacterized. The record is from RefSeq and is a predicted model, not a curated record. The transcript has 3 exons. Lineage: Eukaryota; Viridiplantae; Streptophyta; Magnoliopsida; Brassicales; Brassicaceae.